RNAcentral lists this ribosomal RNA (506 nucleotides) under uncultured bacterium. RNAcentral describes it as "partial 16S ribosomal RNA". It matches the Rfam family "Bacterial small subunit ribosomal RNA", at positions 29 to 523 of the family's 1533-position model. The record is from RNAcentral.
AGUGAACGCUGGCGGUAGGCCUAACACAUGCAAGUCGAACGGCAGCACAGGAGAGCUUGCUCUCUGGGUGGCGAGUGGCGGACGGGUGAGGAAUACAUCGGAAUCUACUCUGUCGUGGGGGAUAACGUAGGGAAACUUACGCUAAUACCGCAUACGACCUACGGGUGAAAGCAGGGGAUCUUCGGACCUUGCGCGAUUGAAUGAGCCGAUGUCGGAUUAGCUAGUUGGCGGGGUAAAGGCCCACCAAGGCGACGAUCCGUAGCUGGUCUGAGAGGAUGAUCAGCCACACUGGAACUGGGACACGGUCCAGACUCCUACGGGAGUCAGCAGUGGGGAAUAUUGGACAAUGGGCGCAAGCCUGAUCCAGCCAUACCGCGUGGGUGAAGAAGGCCUUCGGGUUGUAAAGCCCUUUUGUUGGGAAAGAAAUCCAUCUGGUUAAUACCCGGGUGGGAUGACGGUACCCAAAGAAUAAGCACCGGCUAACUUCGUGCCAGCAGCCGCCGUAA